This 518-nucleotide ribosomal RNA is filed under the name uncultured Bifidobacterium sp. Its description in RNAcentral is "bacterial SSU rRNA". It matches the Rfam family "Bacterial small subunit ribosomal RNA", at positions 158 to 687 of the family's 1533-position model. Lineage: Bacteria; Bacillati; Actinomycetota; Actinomycetes; Bifidobacteriales; Bifidobacteriaceae. The record is from RNAcentral.
GGGUGGUAAUGCCGGAUGCUCCAGUUGGAUGCAUGUCCUUCUGGGAAAGAUUCAUCGGUAUGGGAUGGGGUCGCGUCCUAUCAGCUUGAUGGCGGGGUAACGGCCCACCAUGGCUUCGACGGGUAGCCGGCCUGAGAGGGCGACCGGCCACAUUGGGACUGAGAUACGGCCCAGACUCCUACGGGAGGCAGCAGUGGGGAAUAUUGCACAAUGGGCGCAAGCCUGAUGCAGCGACGCCGCGUGCGGGAUGACGGCCUUCGGGUUGUAAACCGCUUUUGACUGGGAGCAAGCCCUUUGGGGUGAGUGUACCUUUCGAAUAAGCACCGGCUAACUACGUGCCAGCAGCCGCGGUAAUACGUAGGGUGCAAGCGUUAUCCGGAAUUAUUGGGCGUAAAGGGCUCGUAGGCGGUUCGUCGCGUCCGGUGUGAAAGUCCAUCGCUUAACGGUGGAUCCGCGCCGGGUACSGGCGGGCUUGAGUGCGGUAGGGGAGACUGGAAUUCCCGGUGUAACGGUGGAAU